Molecule: long non-coding RNA, 1339 nt
Organism: Grus americana (Whooping crane)
Lineage: Eukaryota; Metazoa; Chordata; Aves; Gruiformes; Gruidae
Exons: 4
Source: RefSeq, a predicted model, not a curated record
UGGCGGACACAAAGCCAGCGUUUAUUACUCGCUCACCGACUUGGAGGGGAGGGGGAAGCGGAGAAAAAAAAAAAAAAUAGAAAACAAGCUUAGGGACAGAAAACAAGCCCCCGCGCCGCCCGGAGCUUCCGCGCUGGCGGCCGCGGAGCCCCUCUCCGGUGCGGCGGCUGUGCGGAGCCCGGCGCGGCGGCGGCGGCAGCUCCCGGGACGGGGCAAUCCCCUCCGCGGCCCGGCCCGGCGGCGGCAACUUUUCCGCCUCCAGGAAGCUUUUGGUGCAGCCGGAGGCCGGGGCUGCUCGGCGGCGGGGCAGCGUCCCCCGCUCGGCGGGACUGCGGGGGAGUGGGGGCUGCGGGAGCGCUGGGGUCCGCGGGGGUGUUGCGGAGGGAGGGGGGGGGCAAGAAAGUGGGUGUCGGGGGGGGGGUUUUCCGCCCCUUUCGGGGGGACGGCGCGGGCAGCAUGUGUGGCCGGACGGGGCAACCGUCCCGCGGGGCUCCAGGAUCAGCCGCCCCGCGGCAGCCCCACUUUGUUCCCCCGCUCCGCGGGGCGCGGAGAAAGGCGCGGGGGGCGCGGAUCCAUCUCCCGCGGGCUCAGGAUGCCAGACCGCCCCGCGGGGGGAGGGCGGAGGGAAAACAUCAAAAAACGGAAAGAGUUUGGAGUUUCGUUAAGAAACAGGCGAAACAAAACGCUGAGUUAAAAAAAAUAAAAUAAAAGCCAAGAACUUGGACCAAAACCCCCGAAGGACCCCCCCCCCCCGCACGUAACUCCGGGAGAUCCUGCUGUCCCGCUCCGCCGCCCGGCGCGGUCCCGUCUCCCCGCAAGGGAAUGAGAACUUGUCUUUGGUGAUAGAAGAGUUAACACAGCUGGCAGAGAAGAAAAACAUCAGAAGAAAACAAAUUGACAAAGCUAAUCAAAUCCAGACAUAUGCAAACUAAAAUCUGAAAUAGGAUUCAAGGUCAUUCUCUUGUGCCACCUCUUGCGGUAGCCUCAUCUGCUGGGCUGUUCUCACCAUGAAAAAACCUGAGCGGGAGUGCAGAUUCUGCAAUAUGAUCCAUCUGCAGAGCAAAUUUCAGAGUUGUUCAUGAGCAGAGCGCUGAUGACUGACCAUGACUGGAGCUGCUAGAGGAUGUCAGGCUGAUACGCAGUUGCUCUUACUCUACCAGAGUGCCCAGCUGGGGUGUCUUCCAAGUCUCAGAUGUGAGGUCAAUGAAGCAUUUUCCCCAAACCAGAUUGGUACGGACUACUAGAAAAUUUUUGGGUUUACUUUCCUCAGAAGGUUUGAAUUAUCCAAGAUAAUUUGAGAAUUUUGCCCCCCUCCCCAAACUAUAAGUGAACGAGUCCA